GACUGUCUAGUAUAGCAUUAUACGGCGAAACUGCGAAUGGCUCAUUAAAUCAGUUAUCGUUUAUUUGAUAGUACCUUACUACUUGGAUAACCGUGGUAAUUCUAGAGCUAAUACAUGCUAAAAAUCCCGACUCACGGAGGGAUGUAUUUAUUAGAUUAAAAACCAAUGCCCUUCGGGGCUCUUUGGUGAUUCAUAAUAACUUUUCGAAUCGCAUGGCCUUGCGCCGGCGAUGGUUCAUUCAAAUUUCUGCCCUAUCAACUUUCGAUGGCAGGGUCUUGGCCUGCCAUGGUGACAACGGGUAACGGAGGGUUAGGGCUCGACCCCGGAGAAGGAGCCUGAGAAACGGCUACUACAUCCAAGGAAGGCAGCAGGCGCGCAAAUUACCCAAUCCCGACCCGGGGAGGUAGUGACAAUAAAUACUGAUACAGGGYKYKKUYKKGKMUWRUWRKWRSWAYKWKYAMWMUYWAAWYCCYUUAACGAGGAACAAUUSGARGGCCAAGUCYKGYKACCAGCAGCCSYGGGUAAUUCCAGYUCCCAAUAGCSUAUAUUAAAGUYGUUGCAGUUAAAAAGCUSGUAGUUGAWCCUUGGGCCUGGCUGGCCGGUCCGCYUCACCGCGUGCASUGGUUCGGCCGGGCCUUUCCCUCUGGGGAACCGCAUGCCCUUCACUGGGUGUGUCGGGGAACCAGGACUUUUACUGUGAAAAAAUUAGAGUGUUCAAAGCAGGCCUAUGCUCGAAUACAUUAGCAUGGAAUAAUAGAAUAGGACGUGUGGUUCUAUUUUGUUGGUUUCUAGGACCGCCGUAAUGAUUAAUAGGGACAGUCGGGGGCAUCAGUAUUCAAUUGUCAGAGGUGAAAUUCUUGGAUUUAUUGAAGACUAACUACUGCGAAAGCAUUUGCCAAGGAUGUUUUCAUUAAUCAGGAACGAAAGUUAGGGGAUCGAAGACGAUUAUUCUGGUCGUCSACAGCUACGGCCGGGGCGUAGCUAGUCCGCUCGAAGGAGCGGGCGACACUGUCAAAUUGCGGGGACCUCCUUAGAGCCUCUACCACACCCCGUGCCCUGAAAAGGGGGCGGGUCGUAAUAGCGUAGAGGAUUGGACAAUCCGCAGCCAAUCCCGCAGGUUACCCUGUAGCUACACACGUAGCUACCCUGUAACAGGGAGCAGUUCACAGACUAAACGGCAGUGGGGGGCCCCAGGGCCCCUUAAGAUAUAGUCGAGGCACGCCUGAAAAGGCGUGAAGCCAGCGGAGGCUCCGGGGAGCCUUCGCCUGGAAAACGCAGAUACCGUCGUAGUCUUAACCAUAAACUAUGCCGACUAGGGAUCGGGCGAUGUUAUUAUUUGACUCGCUCGGCACCUUACGAGAAAUCAAAAGUCUUGGCUCUGGGAGUUCC
RNAcentral lists this ribosomal RNA (1389 nucleotides) under Phyllostachys heteroclada. Its description in RNAcentral is "partial small subunit ribosomal RNA". It matches the Rfam family "Eukaryotic small subunit ribosomal RNA", at positions 53 to 1127 of the family's 1831-position model. The record is from RNAcentral. Lineage: Eukaryota; Viridiplantae; Streptophyta; Magnoliopsida; Poales; Poaceae.